Molecule: ribosomal RNA, 253 nt
Filed under: uncultured bacterium
Lineage: Bacteria
Description: partial 16S ribosomal RNA
Rfam family: Bacterial small subunit ribosomal RNA
Source: RNAcentral
UACGUAGGGUGCGAGCGUUAAUCGGAAUUACUGGGCGUAAAGUGUGCGCAGGUGGCCGCGCAAGUCGAGUGUGAAAUCCCCGAGCUUAACUUGGGAAUUGCGCUCGAAACUACGUGGCUCGAGUGUGGCAGAGGAAGGUGGAAUUCCACGUGUAGCGGUGAAAUGCGUAGAUAUCGGGAGGAACACCAGUGGCGAAGGCGAUCUUCUGGACGGAUACUGACGUUGAGGCGCGAAAGCUAGGGGAGCAAACGGG